RNAcentral lists this transfer RNA (76 nucleotides) under Deltaproteobacteria bacterium. RNAcentral's name for it is "tRNA-Lys". It matches the Rfam family "tRNA". Rfam says of the family: Transfer RNA (tRNA) molecules are approximately 80 nucleotides in length. Their secondary structure includes four short double-helical elements and three loops (D, anti-codon, and T loops). The record is from RNAcentral. RNAcentral also lists the same sequence under 4 other names. Lineage: Bacteria; Pseudomonadati; Myxococcota; Myxococcia.
GGGCGCGUAGCUCAGUUGGUAGAGCAGCGGACUCUUAAUCCGCCGGUCGUAGGUUCGAUCCCUACCGCGCUCACCA